GGGUUGUGAGGUUAAGCGACUAAGCGUACACGGUGGAUGCCCUGGCAGUCAGAGGCGAUGAAGGGCGUGCUAAUCUGCGAUAAGCGCCGGUAAGGUGAUAUGAACCGUUAUAACCGGCGAUACCCGAAUGGGGAAACCCAGUGUGACUCGUCACACUAUCAUUAACUGAAUCCAUAGGUUAAUGAGGCGAACCGGGGGAACUGAAACAUCUAAGUACCCCGAGGAAAAGAAAUCAACCGAGAUUCCCCCAGUAGCGGCGAGCGAACGGGGAGGAGCCCAGAGCCUGAAUCAGCAUGUGUGUUAGUGGAAGCGUCUGGAAAGGCGCGCGAUACAGGGUGACAGCCCCGUACACAAAAGCGCAUGUGCUGUGAGCUCGAUGAGUAGGGCGGGACACGUGGUAUCCUGUCUGAAUAUGGGGGGACCAUCCUCCAAGGCUAAAUACUCCUGACUGACCGAUAGUGAACCAGUACCGUGAGGGAAAGGCGAAAAGAACCCCGGCGAGGGGAGUGAAAAAGAACCUGAAACCGUGUACGUACAAGCAGUGGGAGCACCCUUUGGGUGUGACUGCGUACCUUUUGUAUAAUGGGUCAGCGACUUAUAUUCUGUAGCAAGGUUAACCGAAUAGGGGAGCCGGAGGGAAACCGAGUCUUAACCGGGCGUUAAGUUGCAGGGUAUAGACCCGAAACCCGGUGAUCUAGCCAUGGGCAGGUUGAAGGUUGGGUAACACUAACUGGAGGACCGAACCGACUAAUGUUGAAAAAUUAGCGGAUGACCUGUGGCUGGGGGUGAAAGGCCAAUCAAACCGGGAGAUAGCUGGUUCUCCCCGAAAGCUAUUUAGGUAGCGCCUCGUGAAUUCAUCUCCGGGGGUAGAGCACUGUUUCGGCUAGGGGGCCAUCCCGGCUUACCAACCCGAUGCAAACUGCGAAUACCGGAGAAUGUUAUCACGGGAGACACACGGCGGGUGCUAACGUCCGUCGUGAAGAGGGAAACAACCCAGACCGCCAGCUAAGGUCCCAAAGUCAUGGUUAAGUGGGAAACGAUGUGGGAAGGCCCAGACAGCCAGGAUGUUGGCUUAGAAGCAGCCAUCAUUUAAAGAAAGCGUAAUAGCUCACUGGUCGAGUCGGCCUGCGCGGAAGAUGUAACGGGGCUAAACCAUGCACCGAAGCUGCGGCAGCGACACUGUGUGUUGUUGGGUAGGGGAGCGUUC
Molecule: ribosomal RNA, 1207 nt
Filed under: Salmonella enterica subsp. enterica serovar Enteritidis
Lineage: Bacteria; Pseudomonadati; Pseudomonadota; Gammaproteobacteria; Enterobacterales; Enterobacteriaceae
Description: partial 23S ribosomal RNA
Rfam family: Bacterial large subunit ribosomal RNA
Source: RNAcentral